RNAcentral lists this ribosomal RNA (498 nucleotides) under uncultured bacterium. RNAcentral's name for it is "partial 16S ribosomal RNA". It matches the Rfam family "Bacterial small subunit ribosomal RNA", at positions 29 to 523 of the family's 1533-position model. The record is from RNAcentral.
AUUGAACGCUGGCGGCAUGCCUUACACAUGCAAGUCGAACGGUAACGCGGGGCAACCUGGCGACGAGUGGCGAACGGGUGAGUAAUGCAUCGGAACGUGCCUGGUAGUGGGGGAUAACUGCUCGAAAGAGCAGCUAAUACCGCAUACGACCUGAGGGUGAAAGGGGGGGAUCGCAAGACCUCUCGCUAUCGGAGCGGCCGAUGUCGGAUUAGCUAGUUGGUGGGGUAAAGGCUCACCAAGGCAACGAUCCGUAGCUGGUCUGAGAGUACGACCAGCCACACUGGGACUGUGAAACGGCCCGGACACCUACGGGAGGCAGCAGUGGGGAAUUUUGGACAAGUGACGCAAGUCUGAUCCAGCAAUGCCGCGUGCGGGAAGAAGGCCUUCGGGUUGUAAACCGCUUUUGUCAGGGAAGAAAUCUUCUGGGUUAAUACCUCGGGAGGAUGACGGUACCUGAAGAAUAAGCACCGGCUAACUACGUGCCAGCCGCCGCAGUAA